This 468-nucleotide ribosomal RNA is filed under the name uncultured bacterium. RNAcentral describes it as "partial 16S ribosomal RNA". It matches the Rfam family "Bacterial small subunit ribosomal RNA", at positions 28 to 507 of the family's 1533-position model. The record is from RNAcentral.
GACGAACGCUGGCGGCGUGCUUAACACAUGCAAGUCGAACGGAAAGGCCCUGCUUUUGUGGGUUGCUCGAGUGGCGAACGGGUGAGAAACACGUGAGUAACCUGCCCUUGUCUUUGGGAUAACUUCAGGAAACUGGGGCGAAUACCGGAUAGGAGCUCCUGCUCCAUGGUGUGGGAUGGUAAGUUUCGGCGGUUGGGGAUGGACUCGCGGCUUAUCAGCUUGUUGGUGGGGUAGUUGCUUACCAAGGCUUUGACGGGUAGCCGGCCUGAGCGGGUGACCGGCCACCUUGGGACUGAGAUACGGCGCAGAAGCCUACGGGCGGCAGCAGUGGGGAAUAUGGCACAAUGGGCGGACGCCUGAUGCAGCAACGCCGCGUGCGGGAUGACGGCCUUCGGGUUGUAAACCGCUUUCGCAUGUGACGAAGCGUGAGUGACGGUAAUGGGUAAAGAAGCACCGGCUAACUACGUG